CCUACGGGAGGCAGCAGUGAGGAAUAUUGGUCAAUGGGCGCUAGCCUGAACCAGCCAAGUAGCGUGAAGGAUGACUGCCCUAUGGGUUGUAAACUUCUUUUAUAUGGGAAUAAAGUGCAGUAUGUAUACUGCUUUGCAUGUACCUUAUGAAUAAGGAUCGGCUAACUCCGUGCCAGCAGCCGCGGUAAUACGGAGGAUCCGAGCGUUAUCCGGAUUUAUUGGGUUUAAAGGGAUAGUAGGCGGGUGGUUAAGUCAGUUGUGAAAGUCUGCGGCUCAACCGUAAAAUUGCAGUUGAUACUGGCAUCCUUGAGUACAGUAGAGGUAGGCGGAAUUCGUGGUGUAGCGGUGAAAUGCUUAGAUAUCACGAAGAACUCCGAUUGCGAAGGCAGCCUGCUGGACUGUAACUGACGCUGAUGCUCGAAAGUGUGGGUAGCAAACAGGAUUAGAUACCCCAGUAGUC
This 460-nucleotide ribosomal RNA is filed under the name uncultured bacterium. RNAcentral's name for it is "partial 16S ribosomal RNA". It matches the Rfam family "Bacterial small subunit ribosomal RNA", at positions 338 to 795 of the family's 1533-position model. The record is from RNAcentral.